AAACAGUUUAUUCAAAGUUAGAGUUUGUUUAACAAGUACAAGCCUCUGGGAUAGGUUUUGCUCUGCUUAUGUCACUCAAGUCAUACUUUUUCCCCUUCACUAGAUGGCAGCAAGAAGAUAGCUAUAGGGAUUUGCAGGAUUAGUAUUAUUUUUUUAAAAAAUACAGUAAACAGAGAGUUUUCAAUUGGUUUGUUACUUGAAUGGAUUUCUUUAGCUGUCCCCUUAGACAGAAAGCUCUCAACAACCAAACCAACCAGCAGCAAGUUGGUCAAGAGCAGCGGCAGAGGAGUCUGAAACAUCUUUCCCAGAUAUUAUUGGCUGGAUUGGAAGUUUUUCAAGCUGGGUACCAGUUUAACUUAGUGUACUCACGUGUCUGGGGGAAGCUGGUAGCCUUGUCUGCAAAUUUGGUGGCCCAGGGCAACAAGAGGAGACAAUUCUCUGCAUCAGCUCCACUGCCCAGGCCUGAGCAUGUCCAACCCCAGCAUUUUGCAUUGGCUGCAUUACAUGAAAACCUUCUGUUGCACCCUGCCAGCUGCUGCUGCUCCUGACACUGCUGCUCCACAUUCUGGGAGGCAUUUCCUCCCCUCACUCAGGGUGCUGA
Lonchura striata (white-rumped munia) is the source of this 601-nucleotide non-coding RNA. NCBI's taxonomy places the organism in Eukaryota, Metazoa, Chordata, Aves, Passeriformes, Estrildidae. The record is from RefSeq and is a predicted model, not a curated record.